Molecule: ribosomal RNA, 169 nt
Filed under: uncultured bacterium
Lineage: Bacteria
Description: partial 16S ribosomal RNA
Rfam family: Bacterial small subunit ribosomal RNA
Source: RNAcentral
CCUACGGGAGGCAGCAGUGGGGAAUGUUGGACAAUGGGCGAAAGCCUGAUCCAGCAAUGCCGCGUGAGUGAUGAAGGCCCUAGGGUUGUAAAGCUCUUUUACCCGGGAUGAUAAUGACAGUACCGGGAGAAUAAGCCCCGGCUAGCUACGUGCCAGCAGCCGCGGUAAU